This 1916-nucleotide long non-coding RNA is filed under the name Macaca fascicularis (crab-eating macaque). Its description in RNAcentral is "lncRNA (ENSMFAG00000060336.1)". Lineage: Eukaryota; Metazoa; Chordata; Mammalia; Primates; Cercopithecidae. The record is from RNAcentral.
UCGCUCAUAUAUUUUGGAAUAAACUGAUGCCCCUAACUCAUGGUGGAGAUAGGCUAAGUCAUGGCCCUCUAAAAGAUGCAUCCAAGUCCUAACCUCUGGUGCCGUGAAUGUACUCUCAUUUGGAAAUUGUGUCUUUGUAGAUGUAAUUAGGCUAAGAAUCUGGAGAGGAAACCAUUCUGCAUUUAGGGUAGACACUGAAUCCAGUAACUGAUGUCCUCAGAAUGGAGAGUUCGAGUCAAAGAUAGAGAAGAGAAGGCUGUUGAGGCUGAGGUGGAAAUUGAGGUAAUGCAUCUACCAACCUAGGACAUCCAAGCAAAGAGAGCAGCAUGGGACAGAUUCUCCCUCAAUGCCUGCAACAACAACAACAACAACAACAACAACAACAACAAAAAGCCACACCUUGAUUUUGGACCUCUGUUCCACACAUUGUGAGAGAAUAAAUUUUUAUCACUUUAAGCCUCUGAGUUUGUGGUAAUUUAUUAUGGUAGGCCUAGGGUAACUAGUACAGACUGCUUUGCUAGUCCAUUAGAAUGAAAAAAAACAAAUUUCUUCUGGCAUUUUUUUCUACCAAGUAAAACAUUCAUGAUAAAGGAACUAACGUGAAGGAAGGAAGAGAUAGAAGGCGAAAAUAUUGACUCCUAAUAUCAUGACAACAUCUCUGUUUUACAAUGGCUGAAGUGAAUCUAUCUACCCUGGGCUGUAUUAAGCCAUAUUGAUUUGGAUUUCUUUUACAUGCAACCAAGAACCUUGAUUAAUGAAGAUAGAAAUGUUUGAACAAGAGUUGUAAAGGUUAGGUGUGAUUUGGGAGUGUUUAUUGACCAAUAUCCAAUUAGUUACAUAUAAAAGAAAGUCUAAAUUUCAGAGGUUCGUUGACUUCAAUACAUUUAAAAAUAAUUUGUUGCAUGAUUAUAUUUAUACAACACAUUGAUAUCAGCUAAGCCUUCUAGGGGGGUGAUUCUUCUAUUCUCCCCCAUUAAUUAAUUAAUUCAUUCAUUCAUCCAUGUAUUUAAGUAUGUUAGUUUUUAAACAUUUGCUGACUUUCUGACACUGUAAAGUACCCCAGGCAUAUCAUAUAUUUUCUGUCCCAGUCCUAGUAUUAACUUUUUUCUGCAAAGAGCUCUGGAUCCUUUUACAGGAGAACAUUAUUAGAAAUCAAGGUACUGGUUGCCACUGGGUUAUUAUUGCUUCUAGGAUCUCAGCCGACAGAGCAAGGAAAUAUAUGUAUAUACUAAUGACUGUCUAAAUAUAUGUCUAGAAAUUUUAAUGAAACUGUCUGUGCUUUUAUUAAACUAAAUAUGAGUUCAUAUUGAUGUCUCCAAUAACACAUGGAUCGUUCUAGUUAUUGCUUAUCUAUAACCUCCCACUGCAAUGGUGAAACUCCUGAUUCACACAAACCACUUUCAUUUACUUUAUUCAAUUACAUUACACACAUACAGGAAAUUCAGAAUUGUGAGCCCAUACUUUUGUAGAAAGCAACUUGAUCAACUAGAGUACAGUGUUUAUGUAUAGCUCAUUUUGCCUCAGUUUUACAGGCUCUACUCAUUGCUAAAUUAUUUACAUUCUUACUGUUCUUCCUGCCUGCUCCAUUCAGGUUGGUUCAUUCAUUUAUAGUAAGUUUGACUUGGCCGGGAGCAGUGGCUCAUGCCUGUAAUCCUGGGAGACCGAGGCAGGCGGAUCACCUGAGGUUGGGAGUUUGAGACCACCUGACCAACGUGGAGAAACCCUGUCUCUACUGAAAAUGCAAAAUUAGCCAGGUGUGGUGGCACAUGCCUCUAAUCCCAGCCACUCAGGAGGCUGAGGCAGGAAAAUCGCUUGAACCCGGGAGGCGGAGGUUGUAGUGAGAUUGCGCCAUUGCACUCCAGCCUGGGCAACAAGAGUGAAAGCGAAACUCCAUCUCAAAAAAGAAAAAAAAAAAA